This 203-nucleotide unclassified non-coding RNA is filed under the name Hevea brasiliensis (rubber tree). The record is from RNAcentral. Lineage: Eukaryota; Viridiplantae; Streptophyta; Magnoliopsida; Malpighiales; Euphorbiaceae.
UUAAAAUUAGGAAACUGACUCUGGAUAAAAGACUGAUCCUCUCAUGUAGCUUCCUCCUCAGGCAAAUGAAGCCAUUUAAUGAGGCCUUGAAGGACUUGCUGCUGUUGCCUGGUUACAGUUCUUGUCUUCAACACCCUCUCAGGAGCUACCACAAUCAUGUCAUCCUGAAAAGUGGGAAGAUUUUGGACUACAAGAGUACCUUC